RNAcentral lists this ribosomal RNA (202 nucleotides) under uncultured bacterium. RNAcentral describes it as "partial 16S ribosomal RNA". It matches the Rfam family "Bacterial small subunit ribosomal RNA", at positions 326 to 532 of the family's 1533-position model. The record is from RNAcentral.
ACGCUCGACACCUACGAGGCAGCAGUGGGGAAUAUUGCACAAUGGGGGAAACCCUGAUGCAGCGACGCCGCGUGGAGGAAGAAGGUCUUCGGAUUGUAAACUCCUGUUGUUGGGGAAAAGAGGAUGGUACCCAACAAGGAAGUGACGGCUAACUACGUGCCUAGCACGCCGGACGGUAAUCNGAGGCGGCGUGGACGAAGGC